This 312-nucleotide ribosomal RNA is filed under the name uncultured Glomeromycotina. RNAcentral's name for it is "LSU rRNA". Lineage: Eukaryota; Fungi; Glomeromycota. The record is from RNAcentral.
UUGAAAGGGAAACGAUUGAAGUCAGUCAUGCUGGUGGGAAUCAACUUAGGGGAAACUCUGGGUGCACUUCUUCGCUUGGCAGGUCAACGUCGAUUUUGAAUGUCAUAAAAUAAUUGGGGGAAGGUAGCUCCUUCGGGAGUGUUAUAGCCCUUGAUAGAUGUGAUGUUUGGGGUCGAGGAUUGCAACGGAUACCCUUCGGGGCUAGCCGCCUGAUCUCUAAUUGGUGUUGGGUUACGGAUAGCAUGCUGACCGUAAUCUAAUUACUGGUUAAAAGGUUAGAGUGUGCAUAAAUUCGUUAAGGAUGUUGACGUA